UACGAAGGGUGCAAGCGUUACUCGGAAUUACUGGGCGUAAAGCGUGCGUAGGUGGUUCGUUAAGUCUGAUGUGAAAGCCCUGGGCUCAACCUGGGAAUGGCAUUGGAAACUGGCGACCUAGAGUGCGGUAGAGGGUAGUGGAAUUCCCGGUGUAGCAGUGAAAUGCGUAGAGAUCGGGAGGAACAUCCGUGGCGAAGGCGACUCUUUGGCCUGUAACUGACGCUGAGGCGCGAAAGCGUGGGGAGCAAACAGG
RNAcentral lists this ribosomal RNA (253 nucleotides) under uncultured bacterium. Its description in RNAcentral is "partial 16S ribosomal RNA". It matches the Rfam family "Bacterial small subunit ribosomal RNA", at positions 524 to 776 of the family's 1533-position model. The record is from RNAcentral.